AUAGGCCACUGAUGAUUCAACCAUAUUUUGCCUACAUUGCUUGAUUAUCCGCUUUUGGGUAAAUGUAAACGACUAUUGAUCUGAGGCCUUU
Morus notabilis is the source of this 91-nucleotide non-coding RNA. NCBI's taxonomy places the organism in Eukaryota, Viridiplantae, Streptophyta, Magnoliopsida, Rosales, Moraceae. The record is from Rfam.